CAUCAGCUCUUCAUCAUGGCCUGGUCUCUGCUCUUGGCCUUCUUCUUCUUAUGGUGCCCAGGAGCCAACUCACAGUAUACCUUGACUCAACCUGCGGCACAAUCGUUUCCCCCAGGACAACCAGCAAAGAUCUCAUGUACCAUGAGCCGAGACACCCAAGUGGGCAGCUAUAACAUAUAUUGGUACCAACAGAAGGCUGGAGAGAGCCCCAAAUACCUUCUCUAUGAUAGCAACAGCAACGGACGAUUCACGGGAUCCAAGGACACCUCGGCCAAUGUAGCCUAUUUAACCAUUACAAACCUCCACGCUGAGGAUGAGGCCGAUUACUAUUGUGGUGGUACUUACGGCAGUGGCAGCACCUGGAGGUAUCACAGUGAUACUCUCACAUGCAGAAGAGCCAACUCACAGUAUACCUUGACUCAACCUGCAGCACAAUCGUUUCCCCUGGGACAACCAGCAAAGAUCUCAUGUACCAUGAGCCGAGACACCCAAGUGGGGAGCUAUAACAUAUUUUGGUACCAACAGAAGGCUGGAGAGAGCCCCAAAUACCCUCUCUAUGAUACUGGCAUGAAUAGCCGAUUCACGGGGUCCAAGGACACCUCGGCCAAUGCAGCCUAUUUAACCAUUGCAAACCUCCAGGCUGAGGAUGAGGCCGAUUACUAUAUGGCUGGUGCUUACAUCAGUGGCAGCAACUGGUGGUAUCCAUAG
Non-coding RNA from Thamnophis elegans (Western terrestrial garter snake), 708 nucleotides. The record is from the annotation of a RefSeq genome assembly. NCBI's taxonomy places the organism in Eukaryota, Metazoa, Chordata, Lepidosauria, Squamata, Natricidae.